This 303-nucleotide long non-coding RNA is filed under the name Mytilus galloprovincialis (Mediterranean mussel). Lineage: Eukaryota; Metazoa; Mollusca; Bivalvia; Mytilida; Mytilidae. The record is from RNAcentral.
CUGUUGUUUUUGUGGUCUGACGAUGCUAUAUCCUAAUCUUUAGUUUUUUGUGUAGUGUUUUAUGAACUGCUGUUUUGGUGGGCCGGGGAUGAUACAUCCUUUUCUUCGGUUAUAUGUGUAGUGUUGAAUGGCCUGUUGUUUGCGUUGGCUGGUGUUGCUCAAUCUAAAUCUUUACAGUUCUGUGUAGUGUUGAAUGGACUGUUGUUUUUAGUGGGCUGGUAAUGUUCAAUCCCAAUCUUAAGUUUUCUGUGUAGUGUUUUAUGGACUGUUGUUUUGAUGCGCCUGUAACGAUCAAUUCCUAUC